CAUAAUCAAUUGCGGCAGUUGUUUUGCUAAUUAAGUUGUAUUAAAAUCAUCCACAUUCUAGAAACCAAGUCCACCGUUACGACAAAACUUAUUUAUUUUUUAUUUUAUUUUUCUUAUUUUUUUUUAAUUUUAAAUUUCCAUUAAAACAAACAACAAGUUAUAAGACAAGUGUCCAAACAUAAGCACACAGGCUCGAAAACAUACACAUCCAAAAGCUCAAAUCCAAGGCGCGCAGGCCCGACAACAAGAGCAAAGCCCAAAACAACCAAAGAAGCUGAAACUUAAAAAUAGCAGGCCCAAAAACCAAAAGAACGAAGAGGGAACGACCCAAGGACUCAAAAAACUCAUAAGGAAACCUGAACCGCAGAGGAGGACCUAACUGAAGAGACGGAACCAAGUAGCAAGCAGAGAGGCACCCGGAGGAGGAGAGGGAGAGCAGAGAGGCACUAUGACAAAAUUUAUCUCAUGCCUUCCACUGUAAACGUUUUGUUCGUCCAUUGGAACUCUACCAAAAUUUCGUUACUACAUUCCUAAGUUUUGAUGUUACUGAUUUUGGUAAUCUAAAACAAGACAAUACAUAAGUAAGCAAUGCAUCUGGUACUGAUUUAAUCAAUACUUCUUUGCCAUCUUUAGAUAAGAAUUUUGUAAACCAACCAUUUAUUCUAUUAUGUAAAUAUUUU
This 680-nucleotide small RNA is filed under the name Arabidopsis thaliana (thale cress). Its description in RNAcentral is "ATSL287090". Lineage: Eukaryota; Viridiplantae; Streptophyta; Magnoliopsida; Brassicales; Brassicaceae. The record is from RNAcentral.